CAGGGAGGGCACAGGCAUGAAUGUGAUGCAGGAGAGGCUAAGGUUUGAAUGUGUUGCCAGGGAGGCUUAGGCUUGAAUGUGUUGCAUGGGAGGCUCAGACUUGAAUGUGUUGCAGGGAGGGCACAGGCAUGAAUGUGAUGCAGGAGAGGCUUAGGCUUGAAUGUGUUGCACGGGAGGCUCAGGCUUGAAUAUGUUGCAUGGGAGGCUUAGCAUAGAAUGUGUUGCAGGGGAGGCUCAGGCUUGAAUGUGUUGCACGGGAGGCUUAGGAUUGAAUGUGUUGCAUGGGAGGCUCAGGCUUGAAUGUUUUGCAGGGGAGGCUCAGGCUUGAAUAUGUUGCAGGGGAGGCACAGGCAUAAAUGUGUUGCAGGAGAGGCUCAGGCUUAAAUGUGUUGCAUGGGAGGCUUAAGAUUGAAUGUGUUGCAUGGGAGGCUCAGGCUUAAAUGUGUUGAAGGGGUGGCUUAGGAUCGAAUGUGCUGCAAGGUAGGCUU
Oncorhynchus tshawytscha (Chinook salmon) is the source of this 488-nucleotide long non-coding RNA. NCBI's taxonomy places the organism in Eukaryota, Metazoa, Chordata, Actinopteri, Salmoniformes, Salmonidae. The record is from Ensembl.